Schistocerca nitens (vagrant locust) is the source of this 734-nucleotide long non-coding RNA. RefSeq lists it as uncharacterized. The transcript has 3 exons. NCBI's taxonomy places the organism in Eukaryota, Metazoa, Arthropoda, Insecta, Orthoptera, Acrididae. The record is from RefSeq and is a predicted model, not a curated record.
UGUCCCAGUUGUUAAUAAUGAGGGUGCUCCUUUGCCACUAAUUUGUGGUGGUGGUUGGAGAAUUAGGUGUAUCUGUGGCUGCAGGUUGGACUGAAAUAGCAAAUAAUUUUAUUCACAGUAGGAUCACAUUAAGUGUACAUAGAAUGCUGGAUUAGCUCAUUAUACCCGUAAUCUGGUGAGUCACAAUGUGGCAUAAUGGAUGUAUGUGUAUAAACCACCAUGUCAGAAGAUGGCAAUAAUCGAUGACAACCUUUAAUGUGUGUGUUAUUGUGUCUGAUCAUCACCGAAUAAAAUUGCUUGGAAGCCAUAUUUAUCAGAUUGCUGUUACCUGUUCCAGACAUCAUCAGUACAUAUUGAGAGGAAGAUUUCCGGUCAUUCCUCUGAUAAUUCCCCAGAUCAAAAAUCAAAUAUGCCCAUAGGGGCAAAUAUAGGUGUCCUCACUGAAUGUACAACAAUUUUAAAUGCUGUUCCACAAAGAAUGAGGUGAAUCUCUUCGCUGCGGUCUGCUCCACCUGAAAAUUAGAUUCUGGACUUCCCAAAAGGGCAGGAAAUUUAUUUCAUAGUUAAUCUUCUUUUAUAAAAUGAUGUAACUGAAACAUAUAAGUCUGUUUUAAAACACUAUUAUUGCAUCACAAGAUACAAAACUGACUCUUACAAGAUCUUAAACAACACUGACUGAAUUUGGGUGUUGGUGCUGAGAUUAAGUGAACAGUAAUGACAAAUAGGUUUUACUG